This 376-nucleotide unclassified non-coding RNA is filed under the name Hevea brasiliensis (rubber tree). The record is from RNAcentral. Lineage: Eukaryota; Viridiplantae; Streptophyta; Magnoliopsida; Malpighiales; Euphorbiaceae.
GCGUCGAUCAUAUGGUCAGGAGAUAUAUUCUCCUUUCCUCUUAGCCUUAACAGAGCAGGAUGGAAACAAUUGGACAAACACUCACGUAACAACCUUUUCCGCAAUGGAUUCCUCCUAUGUUUUACCAGAUAAUGUUGCAAUAAUAACCCUGCAGGAACUUGAUGAUGGAAAAGUUUUGAUUCGGUUGGCACACUUAUAUGAGAUUGGAGAGGAUAAGGAUAUGUCGAUCACAGCAAGUGUACAAUUGAAAAAGGUGUUCCCAUACAAGAAGAUAAAAAAAGUAACAGAGACAAGUCUAUCUGCCAACCAAGAGAGAGCAGCAAUGGAGAGGAAGAGGCUAAUUUGGAAAGUAGAAGGUUCCUCUGGAGAAGAACCC